This is a long non-coding RNA of Cuculus canorus (common cuckoo), 970 nucleotides long. RefSeq lists it as uncharacterized. The record is from RefSeq and is a predicted model, not a curated record. The transcript is spliced from 3 exons. NCBI's taxonomy places the organism in Eukaryota, Metazoa, Chordata, Aves, Cuculiformes, Cuculidae.
GCAGCUGAUGGAGACCAGGUCACACUCAUCCCAUCUUCCAGCAGAAAUCCAAAAUGGACGAGAUGAAUUACAGUGACUCCAAGGUGCCUCUUUCCCUCCAUGGCUUGCUAAGGUGUCUGCUAGCUACGCACAAGGCUGGAGCUCUUCUCCACUUGAAUUCAAUGGCUCAUAAUGGAUCCCCACCACUACGUACUCUUGGUCUUCAGCCAAAGGAAAAAAAACCAAAAUCCUUUCCUACCCAGGAAUUGUCAGCUUGCUUUGUUAUCUGCCCAUCUUUGCCUUCUUCCAGAAAACCAAAACUUUCAGCUGCACGUUGCAGAGAAGGCAGCUCACAACACUAUUUUUUAAUGUCUUUCUCAAUCCUUCCGAAUAAACUCCCAGCUGCUCCCCCCUUCAAAUCAUUUCUUCUUCAGACUCAUGGGUUCUUUGAAGUCUGUGCUGACCUGUGUAACUCCAUGUGAUGCUCCAUCUGUUGUUGACUUCUAUGUGUUUAUUUAUUAAGGGGAAAACUGAAAACAUUACUUCAAAAUCUGGCCAGUGUCACUGUCAUUCCUCAAAAACAAGGUCUGCUGUGGAUUCAGCUCUGAUUUUGAUAUGCUCAAGCUUGCUCUGGUUCAUCCCCAAGGAUGCUGACUGAAGGAGGACACAUGAAAUGCUUCCUGUGCAGUGCUUCAUCUUGCAUGGGUCCACCUCAGUCCAUGGGGAACCAAGGAUGUGAACGAGGAAUGGACAACAAUGAUCUGGAGUGCACAGCCACCAGCAGUGAAGUUAUGGCUCUUUAGCUCAGAUGGGUCUCCCAAGCAUCUGUUCUGUACCUCCUGCUCCACCAUGGGGUGCAAAGUACAUCCCAUUAUGGGUAUCAUAGUGGUCACCUUCUCUAAGGUCAGCCACAGCAGAAGCAGCUCUCCAGAACAGAUACUAACCCACUGGUUUGAGCUUGGACCAGUACACAUGAACCUUUCUUAAUGGG